ACCCCUCCCCUCCCUCCCGCAGCGGGCUCAGAAAGUUGCGAGCCGCAGCCCGGGCUGCUUCCAAAAAUCUUGGGGUUCCCCCUCCCCUCCAAUGUCUGCAGUUCCUGGGCUUCCUUUGUCCACGGGGCCAGGCCUCUUCACCCCACUCAGGACCGGCUCGUGGGAGCGCGUCUAGUCCGGCCGGGCCGCUUCGGUUUUCUGGACUCGCCCAUUGUUUCGGGAUUGUUUCGGGACCAGCUAUUCCAGAGACGGGCCCUUUGCCGGGGGUCCCCGACUCGAGAGGUUUCCGGACCCACUGCUCCAGACCUAAGACUUUUCGGGAGCGCCGAGACGCCGGACUUUUUUAGGGGAUCCCGGCUCAGGAAUUUCUCCAGAACCAACUUUUUGCCAGGGCCGGAAAGUUUUGGAGAAUCCAGUUUUUCUAGCCCUACGGAGUUUGGCUCCAUUGAUUUGCUAGAGUCCACGUUUGUAGGGAAACUUGGUUCCCGCCCCAGACAAGAAACUUAUUUUUGAGAUUAUUUUUUCUAGAUUGUGAGGCAAAUCUGGGUUUGUUCCCACCCCCCUUGACUGGGGAGAAAUCUGGGUUAUUUUUAUACCUUGGGGUGAGAACUGGGUUUAAUAAUAUUUCUAGAUGAGAAGAAAUCUCAGUUUAAUUUUUCUGGAUCAGGAAGAAAUCCGGGUUUAAUUUUCUUGGAUCAGGGCAAAAUCUGGAUGUAUUUUUUUUCUAGAUUGGGAAGAAAUCUGGGUUUAUUUUUCCUAGAUUGGGGAGAAAUCUAAAUUAUUUUUUUCUGGAUCGGGGCAAAAUCUUGGUUUAUUGUUUCUGGACUGGGAUGAAAUCUGGGUUUAACUUUUUCUAGAUUGCAGAUAAAUCUAGGUUUAAUUUUUCUGGAUCAGGAAGAAAUCCGGGUUUAAUUUUUCUGGAUCAGGGCGAAAUCUGGGUUUAAUAAUUUUUCUGGAUCAGGGUGAAUUCUGGGUUAAUUUUUUUUCUAGAUUCGGAGGAAAUCUAGGUUUAAUUUUUCUGGAUCAGGUGAUUUCUGGGUUUAUUUUUUCUGGAUCGGGGCAAAAUCUGGGUUUGUUUUUUCUGGAUGGGGAUGAAAUCAGGAUUUAAUUGUUUCUAGAUUGGGGAGAAAUCUGGGUUUAUUUUUCUGGAUCUGGGUGAUUUCUGGAUUUUUUUUUUUAGAUUGGGGCGGGGAAAAGCAGGGUUUCCUUUUUCGAGAGUUGGAAUCAGGGAGUCAGACAAAUGUGUCAAGUAUCAGGGGGUAGCCGUGUUAGUCUGUAUCUACAAAAACAACAAGGAGUCUGGUGGCACCUUAAAGACUAACAGAUUUAUUUGGGCAUAAGCUUUCGUGAGUAAAAACCUCACUUCUUCAGAUGCAUCUGAAGAAGUGAGACAAAUGUGAGGAGUUAAAACUUUCUAGACCGGGCAAAAAUGGAGCAUUAAAAGUUUUGGAGUUUAGGAGACAUUUUGGGGUUUCCAUUUUUGUAGACUGGGGAAAAAAGUGAUUGUCCCCUA
This 1513-nucleotide long non-coding RNA is filed under the name Chrysemys picta bellii (western painted turtle). Its description in RNAcentral is "lncRNA (ENSCPBG00000005030.1)". The record is from RNAcentral. Lineage: Eukaryota; Metazoa; Chordata; Testudines; Emydidae.